GGCGCCCAAAAGAAAAUUCCUUCCUCUAUGAAAUUGUGUCCAACAAAAAAAACGGCGUUGAUGUGGACAAGUUUGACUACUUGGCCAGGGACUCUUCCUACCUGGGGAUCAAGAACAACUUUGACUUUCAUCGCUUCCUGCAGUUUGCCAGAGUGUGUGAGGUUGAUGGCAGGAAAACUAUCUGCACCAGAGACAAGGAGGAAGACCAUAUGUACGACUUGUUCUAUACAAGACACCG
Molecule: non-coding RNA, 238 nt
Organism: Labrus bergylta (ballan wrasse)
Lineage: Eukaryota; Metazoa; Chordata; Actinopteri; Labriformes; Labridae
Source: RefSeq, a predicted model, not a curated record